This is a long non-coding RNA of Alexandromys fortis (reed vole), 420 nucleotides long. RefSeq lists it as uncharacterized. The record is from RefSeq and is a predicted model, not a curated record. Lineage: Eukaryota; Metazoa; Chordata; Mammalia; Rodentia; Cricetidae. The transcript has 4 exons.
GCAAGGUCUUUCUGUGAAUGAGGAGGAGUCAGGACAGAGGGUUGGAGAGGAACUCGCUUGAAUCUGAGGGAAGCCAUAUCAUUUGAAUGAAGCCAGGGAAAGCAGAGAAAACGGAGGGGGACUGCAUCAAAGCUUUCUGGAUGGAGAAUUCUCAGCUACGUCUCCAGCACCAUGUCUGUCUGCAUGCUGCAUGAUCCCCACCAUGAUGAUGAUGCACUAACGUCCAAGACUAUGAUGAAGCCAAGGCGAGGAGAUAGUACCUGGUGAGCAGCGCUUUCUGGCCUAAUGCUGUGGUCUUCCUACCCUAGGGAAUCACUUCCUUUCACAUUAGGAUCAUCGGUACAUUGGUCCAUGAAAGUGAGGGGAACAGAAGUGGCAAACAGGGUUCAGACAGCUGUGGAUACCAUGGAGACAGUCCUC